Folsomia candida is the source of this 374-nucleotide long non-coding RNA. RefSeq lists it as uncharacterized. NCBI's taxonomy places the organism in Eukaryota, Metazoa, Arthropoda, Collembola, Entomobryomorpha, Isotomidae. The transcript has 2 exons. The record is from RefSeq and is a predicted model, not a curated record.
CGAAUUUCUUAGGUGGUGCGGGUGGAAGUGGGAAUACUGCGGGGGGUGCAGGAGGCCAUGGUGGGUCUUCCAACACGCUGACGGGUGGGGCUGGUGGAGCCGGUGGGAUUCGGUCAGGAACAGGAACUGGUGGUCAUGGGGGUAAUGGUGGCGAUGGUCAUCCCGGUGGAGCCCCUGGAGCUGGUGGAGCACCGAACGGUCUUCCUGGAUCUGCUGGAAAUACACUUCCAUGAAUUUAGCAACUUAGUGUUCAUGACCCCAAUUGUUCUGAUUACAAGCCUCCACGAGGUUACAUAAACACAUAAGCACUAUUGAAAUGAAUAUUAUAUUUAAAUUAAUUACUACUUGAAUAAACUCAAUAUGAUUCAAAUUAA